Molecule: long non-coding RNA, 743 nt
Organism: Corapipo altera (White-ruffed manakin)
Lineage: Eukaryota; Metazoa; Chordata; Aves; Passeriformes; Pipridae
Exons: 3
Source: RefSeq, a predicted model, not a curated record
GAGAGGCAUUUCCAGGAAGGAAGAAGAGAAGAAGGAGGAAGAUGUUUGGUUUGCUGGGCAGCUUGUUCUUCCCCAUAGUGCAGAGCAGGUCGUGGUUUUGGGUGGAAAGCUUUCAUCACAUCGGCCAGGGUCCCCCAUUCUGCCUGUGCCACAAGAUGUCACUGAUGUCAAGAUGUCACUGAUUGACCUGUCCAAGGGAUGAUUCUACAGGAACAAAACCUGAGAGCAUCUUCACAUCAACAAUAGCCAUAUUGGAGACUUUACGCUUUCCUGUGUAACUAAAAUGAGAAAAGUUCUGUUAGUCUGGUCUGCAAAUGGAAAGGAGAUCAGUGAAUAACAUUUUCAGCUUCCAACAAUCCUGUUUUUCUUCCUAUAGCUGCACAGCAGCAAAUUACUUGUAUUUAAAUCCUUCCUUGCAUGCUUUACAAAACUGUGAAUGCAAGAGGGUAGAUCAAUGAAAGAAAGUUACCUGGCGAAGAGGACAAGGUCAAACUUUGGUGGAGAGUUGCUUGUGCAGGAUACAUUCGCUGUCCUUACGGAGAGAGAAAAUCCUGCAACUUUAUUUGGCAAAUGGAUGUUGUAUCUCAGAGUGGUCUAAAAGAGAUGGAAAGUGUGAGAUGGUAACAGACUUAAAGGGUUUUGUGUCUUUGGCAUGACAUAUGCAGAGGAAAAAAGUAUGGAGAACCCCAUGCUUAUAUCUUAGAGAGGUCGUGCUGAGUUUCCAGCUUGCUUACCUGCAGAUA